AGAGGAACCAUUCAUCUUUUCGUUCAUUUUGGAACUCCCGAAAUUGACCGACCGCUAUCACUGAAACUAUGGGACUAAUAUGGGCAGGCGCCACAUGUGUGGUCAGUCAAAACUUUAACCCGGUGGUGAUUCGGCUGUAAUUGUGGGAUCUGAGCACUAUUUGGACAACUUGGGCGCUCAGAUCCAGGCUAUGGAUAUCAUA
Molecule: non-coding RNA, 202 nt
Organism: Pelobates cultripes (western spadefoot toad)
Lineage: Eukaryota; Metazoa; Chordata; Amphibia; Anura; Pelobatidae
Source: the annotation of a GenBank genome assembly